This 112-nucleotide ribosomal RNA is filed under the name Danio rerio (zebrafish). The record is from RNAcentral. Lineage: Eukaryota; Metazoa; Chordata; Actinopteri; Cypriniformes; Danionidae.
GGCCACAGCCAUAUCCCCCUGCAGGCAAAGACCGGCUACUCACUGAAGCAAGGCUGAUUCUGGUCAAUACCUGGAUGGGUGACCUCAUGGGAAAACUAGGUUACUGUUGAAA